UCCAAGUCACGUGUCCAGGUCACGUGGCCUGCCAGACAGCGAAGGCGGCUGGCAAUCAUUAACUAAUGCUUUCUCCCAGGGAGAAAAAUGCUGGCUUUAAGGAGGCCCGGACGUCAGAAUUGCAAUAGAAGGACUCAAUCCCGGGAAGAUUCCUACCUCCAGACUAACACUUGGAAGAUAAAGAAUGAGGGAGCUGACAACCUUGUUGCAGAAUUCUGCCCAGCACUGACAGCCUCAGCGCCCACCCUCUGCUUCUCAGGAUGACCCUGGGAGCACCUGAGUUUUUUUUUGCUCGGUGAGGAAACCCUUGGGUUUCAGAGUAUCUCCUGGUGGCACACUGGGAAAGACUUUUAAAGCUGGAAUUAAAAAACCAAACCAAACCAAACCAAACCAAACCAAACUGAAACAAAAAGAAAAACAAACCAUUCAUCUGAUCCAUGGUGCUGUUGCCUGGCUAGGGCAAGCCUGCGUGCGGGGCGGGGCGGGGUGGAGUGAAGGGGAAUCAGAGGAGGUCAGACCUUCAGUU
This 526-nucleotide long non-coding RNA is filed under the name Mus spicilegus (steppe mouse). Its description in RNAcentral is "lncRNA (ENSMSIG00000023368.1)". Lineage: Eukaryota; Metazoa; Chordata; Mammalia; Rodentia; Muridae. The record is from RNAcentral.